UACGUAGGGGGCAAGCGUUGUCCGGAUUUAUUGGGCGUAAAGAGCGUGUAGGCGGCCAGAUAGGUCCGUUGUGAAAACUGGAGGCUUAACCUCCAGCGGUCGAUGGAAACCAUUUGGCUAGAGUCCGGAAGAGGAGACUGGAAUUUACGGUGUAGCGGUGAAAUGCGUAGAUAUCGUAAGGAAGACCAGUGGCGAAGGCGGGUCUCUGGACAGUUCCUGACGCUGAGGCACGAAGGUCAGGGGAGCAAACGGG
This 253-nucleotide ribosomal RNA is filed under the name uncultured bacterium. Its description in RNAcentral is "partial 16S ribosomal RNA". It matches the Rfam family "Bacterial small subunit ribosomal RNA", at positions 524 to 776 of the family's 1533-position model. The record is from RNAcentral.